GCGCUUGAUAAGCGUGAGGUCGGAAGUUCAAGUCUUCCCAGGCCCACCAUUUUGAUCGAGUGCGGAGCAUUCGUCUUCUGGUACGGGGCCAUAGCUCAGCUGGGAGAGCGCGUGCUUUGCAAGCAUGAGGUCGUCGGUUCGAUCCCGUCUGGCUCCACCAGAUGGAAUUGAAGCUCGAGAAUGCGCCUUGUGCAGGAAGCUCUGUUCAAUAUCGUCCGCGAAACAUCACUUCGCACUCAUUGGUCCGGAUGGACGGUGACGUGCGUGUUUUCUGACAUCGUAAAGAGGAGAUCGAUCCGAGUUUGGAUCUGCGAAGCAAUUCGCGGGUACCAUUCCUAAUCUCCAGAUCGUUUUCGGCGCUCGUUCAUCGCAAGAUGAUCGAGUUGUAAAACGAUCUUUGUAGCGAAGCUUGACCGCCUCGCUAUCGGGCCGAUCUUACGAAGCAAGCUGGUCUUUCUAGUCAAUGUCCGGCUGUGCAAUCGCAUUCAUCGAGGAUGCGCGCCUUCAGUGGCAGGUUACACAGACAACAUUCUGCCGAGUGUGUGGACAUUGAUAAUGAGAGCAAUCAAGUGCCUUAAGGGUGUUCGGUGGAUGCCUUGGCGCUGAGAGGCGAUGAAGGACGUGCUACGCUGCGAUAAGCCGUGGGGAGCUGCGAAGAAGCUUUGA
This 666-nucleotide unclassified non-coding RNA is filed under the name Bradyrhizobium sp. RNAcentral's name for it is "partial contains 16S-23S ribosomal RNA intergenic spacer and 23S ribosomal RNA". The stretch from base 564 to 666 matches the Rfam family "Bacterial large subunit ribosomal RNA", at positions 1 to 102 of the family's 2925-position model. Lineage: Bacteria; Pseudomonadati; Pseudomonadota; Alphaproteobacteria; Hyphomicrobiales; Nitrobacteraceae. The record is from RNAcentral.